GCCCGUGAAAACCCUAACGCCGCAUUUGCAGCAAAGUACGGGAUAGCAAUAAUCAGAGAUUGAGCGUUGCAAUCUCCGAUGCGUCUACGGUCAUGCUGUGUUUGAUCUCUUCUCAUUCACUAUUCGUUCUAUAAUUUGUUAGUUUAGAACUCAAUUAGGUUUAUCGCAUUCGAUAGGCGUUGCGUUCCUCGUUUGGAUUUAGAUCCAGAGGGACGCGUCAACGAAGGCGUAAAGAAAUCGUCAAUUCGAGCCGAUUCUAAUCGCAGCUACGCUGUUUGCAAGGUCGUAGCCUGCUCCUGCGCUGAAUUGGGCCAUUGUUUGUUGAUAAGAUCUUUUCACACUUCAUCAUCUAAUGUUCAUUUCCCCUGUUGCUUUGUGCAUUGUUUCUGGAUUUAUACUGUUAAUAGUGUCUUUAUGACCUGUUUGAAUUCAGAAUUUUGGUUUGGAAAGGGGAAGGAAUGGAAAGCAAUUUACGCUAUAUUUUUUUCUAUAUUAAAUACUACAAAAAAUAAAAAUUCAUUUUAAAAUAAUUAAAAAUUAAAUGUAAAUUAUUCAUAAAAUUAUAUUUAUAUUCAUUGAGUUUGUAUAUUUUUGUUAUUUUUUUGCUUUCUUGAUAAUGAAAAGGUCAAUUUUUAUUGCAUUUAUGUUGUAUUUCUUCACUGUUUGGAACCUCAUCCAACAUCAUUGUUUUUGAUUUUUUUAAUGGAGGUGGUGGAGGAUGGUUGCUUCUUACUGGUGAACUCUCUUGAAAAAUGUGGGGGAUGUUCAUGUUUCCGAAGCAUAGAUCAAUUGAGAUUAAUAUCUUUGCCAGUUUUAAACAGCGUGGUGUGUUGAAUCUCGUUGCACUCCGCUACCUGUCUCCUGCCCUUCUUCCCUCGAGCUAGUGAAGGGGAAUGCCAAGCUUCCCCAAAUCCACAUCAUGUGGAAUGCGUUAAGAUUGACAACUCGUCCUUGUGGAUCCAGCACCACCAGCAUGGGCUUCUUGUUGAAGUGCCACACUUCCUUGAUGUACCUAAUGACCGCAAGAUCGAUCAUCGAAGGGUGGUACACAGAAUGCCAUGGCAUUGUGCUUUGCAGGGUCUCAAAUAGGCGUUGCUUCUCUUCAUUCCAGCGUGUUGAUCGGUCGACUACUGGUAGCCACACUACCUCGUACUGGCUCUCUGCUCUCGUCGGAUGUAGUCGUGACUCACUGUACAUCUGCUCAAGAACUGAAAGCUCACCAUGGGAGAGGUCGAGGUCCGAAAUCAGUAGUAACACAUUCUUCCUCCUUAGCAUGUCAAUGUUUUCCUGCGGUGGUAGAAAUUGAAAGUGAGGAAUUCGUCUUAGUUUAGUAAGAACUACUAAAUCAGAGGAACACAUUCUUCCUCCUCAUUAUGACAAUGUUUUAUUAUGGAGAUUGGAAGAGAGGAGUUUGUUUCAGUUUAGUAAGAACUAUUAAAUCAGUAGUAACACAUUCUUCAUUAUUAGUAUGUCAA
Malania oleifera is the source of this 1475-nucleotide long non-coding RNA. RefSeq lists it as uncharacterized. The transcript has 2 exons. The record is from RefSeq and is a predicted model, not a curated record. Lineage: Eukaryota; Viridiplantae; Streptophyta; Magnoliopsida; Santalales; Ximeniaceae.